This 548-nucleotide long non-coding RNA is filed under the name Setaria viridis. RNAcentral's name for it is "long non-coding RNA (SVIR_LNC001131)". The record is from RNAcentral. Lineage: Eukaryota; Viridiplantae; Streptophyta; Magnoliopsida; Poales; Poaceae.
CAAAAUCCAUUUCACAGCCUCUAGGAUACUUGGAUGAGACACCAACAAUCUCGAUAUCACCUCGGCCGGGCCGCAUGCGUAGCGUAUCAGAUGUCAAGAGGCGGUGUCGGGCACUUGUACGAGCACUUGCAAGCCUCGCGGAUGCAGAUCCCGUCGCCCUUCAUCUUGCUGAAGCACUUGUCGAGGCACGUCUCGGCGUCGCAGCCGUCGGAGUAGAGGAUCUUGUAGCAGGAGUACAAGCCCGGGCCCGGCUCCGGCGCGUGCUUCGGCGGGUGGUGCUCGUGCAAGCCUGAACCCGGCGCCGGCGCUGUGCACAUCCCUGCAGGGAGAAAUGCAUAUCAUGUUAGUGCUACGAACAGCUACUACGGUCGUGUGAUUGAAAAUCAGUGGCACUCACUGCUUAGAGUUGGAGAUAGUUACCUGUUGACAGGAGCACCAUGGCAACAGCGAGGAGCAGUGCUCCGUGGCAGGUCCUCAUGGUCGGUGCUGGUAAAGAUGGGAUCGUUGAUCAAUUGAUUGUCUACUUUAGAUAGUGACCGAGAGCAUAU